UACGGAGGGUGCAAGCGUUAUCCGGAUUUACUGGGUUUAAAGGGUGCGUAGGCGGCGGGGUAAGUCAGGUGUGAAAUCCCGGAGCUCAACUCCGGAACUGCACUUGAUACUGCCUUGCUCGAGUACUGGAGAGGAGACUGGAAUUUACGGUGUAGCAGUGAAAUGCGUAGAUAUCGUAAGGAAGACCAGUGGCGAAGGCGAGUCUCUGGACAGUUCCUGACACUGAGACACGAAGGCCAGGGGAGCAAACGGG
This 253-nucleotide ribosomal RNA is filed under the name uncultured bacterium. RNAcentral's name for it is "partial 16S ribosomal RNA". It matches the Rfam family "Bacterial small subunit ribosomal RNA", at positions 524 to 776 of the family's 1533-position model. The record is from RNAcentral.